GUGCUCACUUAAGCAGUACGUAUAUCAAAAAUUGGAAUGAUACAGAGAUUAGCAUGUCUCAUGCACAAGGAUGACACAAAAAUUCAUAAAGUAUUCCAUAUUUUU
RNAcentral lists this small nuclear RNA (105 nucleotides) under Dasypus novemcinctus (nine-banded armadillo). The record is from RNAcentral. Lineage: Eukaryota; Metazoa; Chordata; Mammalia; Cingulata; Dasypodidae.